Molecule: ribosomal RNA, 204 nt
Filed under: Anaerococcus sp.
Lineage: Bacteria; Bacillati; Bacillota; Tissierellia; Tissierellales; Peptoniphilaceae
Description: partial 16S ribosomal RNA
Rfam family: Bacterial small subunit ribosomal RNA
Source: RNAcentral
UUUCAUGAGAGUUUGAUCCUGGCUCAGGAUUAACGCUGGCGGCGUGCAUAACACAUGCAAGUCGAACGAUGAAACUUAAAUGAUUUCUUCGGAAUGAACUUAAGUGGAUUAGUGGCGGACGGGUGAGUAACGCGUGAGUAACCUGCCUUACACAAGGGGAUAGCCGUUGGAAACGACGAAUAAUACCCUAUGAAACUAUCACUU